This 440-nucleotide ribosomal RNA is filed under the name uncultured bacterium. RNAcentral describes it as "partial 16S ribosomal RNA". It matches the Rfam family "Bacterial small subunit ribosomal RNA", at positions 338 to 795 of the family's 1533-position model. The record is from RNAcentral.
CCUACGGGUGGCAGCAGUGGGGGAUAUUGCACAAUGGGGGGAACCCUGAUGCAGCGACGCCGCGUGGGUGAAGAAGCGCCUCGGCGCGUAAAGCCCUGUCAGCAGGGAAGAAAAUGACGGUACCUGAAGAAGAAGCCCCGGCUAACUACGUGCCAGCAGCCGCGGUAAUACGUAGGGGGCAAGCGUUAUCCGGAUUUACUGGGUGUAAAGGGGGCGUAGACGGCGGUGCAAGUCUGGAGUGAAAGCCGGGGGCCCAACCCCGGGACUGCUCUGGGAACUGUGUGGCUGGAGUGCAGGAGGGGCAGGCGGAAUUCCUAGUGUAGCGGUGAAAUGCGUAGAUAUCAGGAGGAACACCGGUGGCGAAGGCGGCCUGCUGGACUGCAACUGACGUUGAGGCCCGAAAGCGUGGGGAGCAAACAGGAUUAGAUACCCUGGUAGUC